Molecule: ribosomal RNA, 253 nt
Filed under: uncultured bacterium
Lineage: Bacteria
Description: partial 16S ribosomal RNA
Rfam family: Bacterial small subunit ribosomal RNA
Source: RNAcentral
UACGGAGGUAGCUAGCGUUGUUCGGAAUUACUGGGCGUAAAGAGUACGUAGGCGGUUAUUUAAGUCAGAGGUGAAAGCCCGGAGCUCAACUCCAGAACUGCCUUUGAAACUAGAUAGCUAGAAUCAUGGAGAGGUUAGUGGAAUUCCGAGUGUAGAGGUGAAAUUCGUAGAUAUUCGGAAGAACACCAGUGGCGAAGGCGACUAACUGGACAUGUAUUGACGCUGAGGUACGAAAGCGUGGGGAGCAAACAGG